UACAGGGGGGGCGAGCGUUGUUCGGAAUUAUUGGGCGUAAAGGGCGCGUAGGCGGUGCGGUAAGUCCGCAGUGAAAUCUCUGGGCUCAACUCAGAGUCUGCUGUGGAAACUGCCGUGCUUGAGUGUGGGAGAGGUGAGUGGAAUUCCACGUGUAGCGGAUGAAAUGCGUAGAGAUGUGGAGGAACACCAGUGGCGAAGGCGACUCUUUGGCCUGUAACUGACACUGAGGCGCGAAAGCGUGGGGAGCAAACAGG
RNAcentral lists this ribosomal RNA (254 nucleotides) under uncultured bacterium. RNAcentral describes it as "partial 16S ribosomal RNA". It matches the Rfam family "Bacterial small subunit ribosomal RNA", at positions 524 to 776 of the family's 1533-position model. The record is from RNAcentral.